This 364-nucleotide ribosomal RNA is filed under the name Pinnixa sp. Panama. Its description in RNAcentral is "partial 12S ribosomal RNA". Lineage: Eukaryota; Metazoa; Arthropoda; Malacostraca; Decapoda; Pinnotheridae. The record is from RNAcentral. RNAcentral also lists the same sequence under 1 other name.
UAUUAUUCUUAGACGAAUUCUUCCUUAGGUUAGUAAUAGAUAUUUACUUAAAAGCUAAAAAAUUUGGCGGUGAUUUAAUCUUUCCAGAGGAACUUGUUUUUUAAUCGAUAAACCUCGUAAUAUCUUGCUUACUUCUUGUUAUAGUUUGUAUACCGUCAUUAUCAGGUAAUUUUUAAAAAAUAAAUUUCUUAAUUCAAAAAUUUUGUCAAAAUUAGAUCAUGGUGCAGCUUAUGAGUAAGUUAAAAUGAGUUACAAUAAAUUAUUUUAAACGGAAAAUUAAAGGAAUUUUUAAUUUGAAGGAGGAUUUGGUAGUAUUUAAAGUUUAAUAAGCUUAAGAGAUGUUAGCUCUAAAUCAUGUACAUAU